Molecule: unclassified non-coding RNA, 282 nt
Filed under: soil metagenome
Description: partial internal transcribed spacer 1
Source: RNAcentral
UCACGUAUCCACGUACAAACCACUGCGAACUGUUCUCCCUUUUGAAGGCGCUGGGUUUGGUUCGAUCAUAGUCUCUUCCAGUCGUGAUAGAGGAGCGAUCGCGCCGUGAGUUUUGAGCCCGCAAGGGUUCUAAAUUCCGCCUGUGCUUUCAAGAGUGGUUAUUAUCACGCAACCCUUAUAACUAUUAACCCCUUUAACUUUUAUGAACUGAAAUUUAAGCUUGAUGUAAGAGUCGGGUCUCGGCCUGUAUUCUGAUCAAGUCUUUUAUUACGAAACUAAGAA